Molecule: ribosomal RNA, 168 nt
Filed under: uncultured bacterium
Lineage: Bacteria
Description: partial 16S ribosomal RNA
Rfam family: Bacterial small subunit ribosomal RNA
Source: RNAcentral
CCUACGGGAGGCAGCAGUGGGGGAUAUUGCACAAUGGGCGAAAGCCUGAUGCAGCAACGCCGCGUGAGGGAAGACGGUUUUCGGAUUGUAAACCUCUGUUCUAAGUGACGAACAAAUGACGGUAGCUUAGGAGAAAGCCCCGGCUAACUACGUGCCAGCAGCCGCGGU